GUUGAAACACCGGUUCCCGUAUGAUCACUGAAGUUAAGCCAUGGUGAGACUGGUCAGUACCCAGAUGGGUAACUGCUUGGAAAUACUAGGUGCUGUAA
Molecule: non-coding RNA, 98 nt
Organism: Acanthosepion pharaonis
Lineage: Eukaryota; Metazoa; Mollusca; Cephalopoda; Sepiida; Sepiidae
Source: the annotation of a GenBank genome assembly